This 528-nucleotide long non-coding RNA is filed under the name Cricetulus griseus (Chinese hamster). RNAcentral describes it as "lncRNA (ENSCGRG00015034124.1)". The record is from RNAcentral. Lineage: Eukaryota; Metazoa; Chordata; Mammalia; Rodentia; Cricetidae.
AGGAACUCACUUAAACUAAAGGAAGAUAAGAGUGGUGAAAAUGAAAGUGGAAUUCCUGUUUGCAGAUCCCAGUGAGGUCAAAGGACUGGUGGAAUAUCUAUACCAGAAGGAAUACAUGGUCAGGAUACAGGAGUCCGUUUUGAGAUUUGGAUGGUGUCAAGAAAUUGUCGCAGGCAAGAGUGAUGGCUCAGUGGUCAAGAAUGCCUACAAAAGGAGACAGUUGCUUCAAGUUGUCCUCUGGCCUUCAUAUAUGUGCUGUGGCAUGCAUGAUUGCCUAUCACUGCCAUGACAAGAGACACCAUCCCUCAGAAGAUAGAUGUCAGGAAGAGCAUGUGGGUCUCCUGUGCCUCAGACUGGCCUUGAAGUUUCUAUACAGCAGAGGGGAUAACGUUGAAUUUCUGAUCCCAUGUCUUCACCUCCUGAGUGACAGGAUUACAGGUGUGCCUCACUGCAUGUGAUUUCUGGGGCACUGGGGAUGGGAAACGGGACUUCAUGCAAACCAACUGAGUUACCUCCCAAGGCAAUGUU